Molecule: long non-coding RNA, 3995 nt
Filed under: Gallus gallus (chicken)
Lineage: Eukaryota; Metazoa; Chordata; Aves; Galliformes; Phasianidae
Source: RNAcentral
GGGUCAUUGAGGUUAAUGAUAAGAACCUUUACUCAAGCAUCUCUUUCUUAGUGCACUUCAGCAGAGUUGUGAGUGUCAGUGUGCAACCUGCGUGCAGUAAUAGGCAGUGUGUUAGCCACAUGGCAGUUCUGGUGAUGAGAACAGACAUUUUGUUGCAGGAGUUGGCUUAGACUAAUUUUGGGGAUAAUUUUGAGGGGGUUUCAAGAGAAAAUGGUUUCAAACAGGAAAACCUGAUUUUAAAUAAAAGAACUUUAGAGUCCAGGGACAGUACUUUAAAAACGUUACUCGUCAAGUUUGCAGUUACAUCUUUUUUGGUAUCUUCAUUUUAAGAGCUUCAGGCAGCCCGGCCUUUGGAAAUCAGACCCCCCAGCUAAGUUGCAGUCACUAGUUACUUUUGAACAUCUUGUCUCAUAGGCUUUGCUGUACUACUUUAUGUUUGCAAUACGACUACGAAUCGCUGUUUUCUAAGUAAACAAGUGAGAACAAUAUACAGUGCAUGGGGUUGUGUUCCUGCUUGAGGUGAACAAAGAGGGAGGAAAUUUCCAACUCGUAAAUAUAAGCCUUCCUGGUAUGUGCCCACCUGAUGUGCUGUGGUAGAAGUCUUGGUCUUCUCAUGUAGGAGAAAAGGAAGACUGUCCCUUCAGGCUGCCCUGUGGAGUCAAAAUCUCUUGCUGACUUUGCAGUGUUGGGGAUGUACCUGAAACUCAACAUGUUCAAGUUGGCAGAGUUCUCACUUUCUGAUUUCUGGAUGUUGUGAAUGCCUAUGGCUCUGAACCAUAGGGUUUGGGUGGUGCCAUGUGGAGCCUGGCGCUGGGGUCAGUGAUUUCCGUGGGUCCCUUCCUAAUGUGGAUAUUAUGUGAUUCUAGAAUUCUGUGAUUUCUCAUUGUAUCCCAAGCUGUAUUCUCUUCCCCUUCUUUCCUCUCUCUCUCUCUCUCUCUCUCACUAUUUCAGCUGUCUCUCCUGUCCAUUUCAACUGCCUUUCCUCUGCUUUUUACCUUUUCUUUCUUCAUUCCUGCUUUCUUUAAUCUUUCUUGCUUUAGACAUAUACCCUCAGUGCCUUCUGCCCUGUAAUCUCCCAUCCUAUCUUUAGUCCACUUGAUUUAGCCCCAUUGUUCUCAUCUGUCUUCCCCUAUUUGUAGCGUAUUAGCCCCUUUUCUCCCAUUUUUUUUCACUCCUUGCAGCAUGGGAGAAAUUUUUGCACUGUUAGAUCUGCUCCCUUAGUGCUUCUCAGGAACUCUAGAAUCUGCAAAAUGUGUGCGUUCCAGCCUGUAUAGAGGCUGCCUGCCUGUAAACUGGUAGACAGAUACUCGAAGUCAAAGAAAAGACUACAUUGGUCAGAAAUUGCUUGAAAGCAUGUUCAUGUAUUGGGAGGGUCAUAGAUAUGUCCUUAAAAUUGAUGCAGCCUUUUGGAGACUGGAAGAGUUAAUUGAAGAGCUGUAUGAACAGACUAAAGACUUACCUUUAUGGAUGCCAUUUCUCUGGUAGAUCUACAAACAGCUCAGCCUCUCUUCUUGCUUUCUUGAUGUAGACAUGCAUGCAGUGACUCUUUCAGAGAUGCUUUUGUCAUUUCCAAUCUGGUACAGCUGUAGUCACUUAGCUUUUAAGCAGGAAAGCAUUUUUAUUAGCUUACUCACUUCUGUUUAACUCCCCUCUUCUCAUGAUGACCUACACAGUGCUGGGAUGGACAUAACUAAUCCCACCAGGUGCUCUAAAGUACAAACUUGCAGUGAUGGUUGCUAACAGCGUGGGCUUGCUUGGGAUGAGAUGCUGGAAAGGUGAGGAGGCUGGAGCUGGUCUGUGCUACCUACCUGGUGAAUUGGCAGCCAGAGGAGGACCAGGACAAAUGGGAUGUACUGAGGAGGUGCAGGGCUCUUUAAAGGUCUUUGCUGCGGGGCCUCACUUCCACAAUGUGGAGUGGAAUCCAUGGAGGCUGAAUCUCAGCACAGCUACACCGUCAGCAAAAUCUGUGAAGGCCAGACAAAAAAAUGUUUGUUUAUUCUCCUUUAAUGACUGGUCCAUGUAAAGAAUGGAAAUGCACUGCAGCUGUCGUUUGCUCUGUAAACUCAAAUGGCUAUGGUUGUGGAGUCAGUAUGAUUACAGAGGAUGGAAUUAGGAGUUAAGAAAUUCACAGGCAACUUUAAUUAACCUGCUUUGUGUAUAUGCAUUAUGAUGCAGUCUUUAAUUAUGUGAUCGCAUACUAUUUUCCCCAAAGCAUUUGUGUCUCAUUUAACUCAGAGGAUUGAGGUGGUUGAGCAGGCUGUUUGUCCAGAGGACCUCCGUCCUUUUGGUAGGAAGGUGUACAGCAAGCAAAGCGGGGAUUGCAAGGAGCAAGAGGAUGAGGUCACGGCUUGAAAGAGUUAAAUGUAAGAUUGCCUUUACCUCAGUGUUUCUGAUCAGUGCUGCUGAGUGUUCCGAACCACACUUCCUCCAAGCAGUCAUCAAUUGUGCAUCCUUCCUUUUUGGAUGGCCAUUUGAGGUGAAGGUUUAAUUUGCAGAUGUAUUGAGCUUCCAUGUCUGUCAGGGAAAUCAAUUGGAGCUGUGCUUUAGACUUACAAAGGGCUGCAUAAAGCUUAGUAUGCUGAGAAAAGCAGGUAAUAGACUUCCCAGAGUAUGCACUCAGUGUUAGAUCCUGUUAGCUGUGUCUCCCCAUCUCAGUUCCCAGCCAAAGAAGAGGGUAAUAACACCACCACAGGGUGCUGGGAGAGGAGAAUGCCAUUAAUAUUUUUAAGGCACUUAAAUACCGUAAUGAUGAGAACUGUAGAAAAGCUCUUGAAGAAAUUAAUAGUUCUGUCUAUACAGCAAGAUUUGAACAUUGUAUAGUAAGGAGUGGUGCAACAUAUUGAUGGGCCUGUGUAUUGAACAGUGAAAGUAAGCCACUGCUGGGUAGAGCUCAGCUCUAAGCUGAAGGUGGGUGAGAUCAGGGACAGUAAAAGGUUUUGCCACAGCAAGGCUCUGUCCUCAAAGGGGUGAAAAUUAAGAUUAUGCCAAUCAGUCUUCUUUCUGACAUCUCUGAAAUGAUGUGUCAAAGCCUUUUAACUGGUAUUUGCAAGGCAGACGGCUUUAGCAGAGGAUGUCGUAUAGCAUGGCGUUCAUGUGAGAUGGUGCUCAUCUGGGAGAGGUUGUGGUUGUCUGGCAGGCACAGACCAGAGAUCACUCCUGAAGUUACUGUUUUUGCACAAGCCAAGGAUUUCUUCCUAGUGAAUUUAGGUGUAGGACUGGGCCCUUCGUAUGGACUUGGCCAAAGAUUUUGAGUAUUUAGAAUCUAGUAUUGGUUCUGGGAUGCAGGCAUGAUACCUGCAGGGAGUUCCUUGGUCUUUUGCCUCCCAUGAAAAUAGUAAUUCUUUCUUUACAACGGCAUUGUAAGAGACUCCAUUUGUAAAAUAAGUAUUUAAAACCAUAUGAAUGCUAAUUGCAGGAGUGUUUUCAGAGAGCAGUCUGACACUGCUGCUGUGCUCCCAUGCAACUGUUGCUAGCCUGCUUUCUGCAGAGAAAGAUGUGGCUUUACUUACCUCUACUACCAUUAUUUCAUACUUAUUCAGUUUGAAUGGUAGUUACAGUUGCCUACAUAUAUUAAAAAAAUAAUAAUAAUAAAGAUUUGAAAGAGCAGUGAGGUCUGCAUUCAGCUUUUGUAGUAGAAUAUGGAGAUGUGAAGCUGUUACCUCCAACCAUACAGACGCUGCCUGUAUACAGAGGGCAGCAGGAAGGGGUUCUGUCAUGAGAUUGUUUCUUUCUGCUCAGAGUAUUGCUUUUUGUUACUCGCUUCCUCAAAGGACUUGUUGCGGCUGUAUCUAAUUCAUGUUUAAUAAGCUCUUUCUACUUCAGGUGUCAAUCUGUUUUGCCCAUUACUUUUCAUUUUCAUAAAUAUUUGAGUGCAAAAUGAUAACAGUUUUUGCAUCCGUAGUGGCUGGGUGGAAAUGGAAGUCUUUUUAGUAGAGCUCCAGAAACCGACAGAACCUGAAAUGAGAUGGUUUUGUAUACUCUUUAAUUUUGAUUGC